This 1420-nucleotide ribosomal RNA is filed under the name bacterium AD255/2(2012). RNAcentral's name for it is "bacterial SSU rRNA". It matches the Rfam family "Bacterial small subunit ribosomal RNA". The record is from RNAcentral.
GNGGCCUAANANAUGCAAGUCGAGCGGUAGCACAGAGAGCUUGCUCUCGGGUGACGAGCGGCGGACGGGUGAGUAAUGUCUGGGAAACUGCCUGAUGGAGGGGGAUAACUACUGGAAACGGUAGCUAAUACCGCAUAACGUCGCAAGACCAAAGUGGGGGACCUUCGGGCCUCAUGCCAUCAGAUGUGCCCAGAUGGGAUUAGCUAGUAGGUGGGGUAACGGCUCACCUAGGCGACGAUCCCUAGCUGGUCUGAGAGGAUGNACCAGCCACACUGGAACUGAGACACGGUCCAGACUCCUACGGGAGGCAGCAGUGGGGAAUAUUGCACAAUGGGCGCAAGCCUGAUGCAGCCAUGCCGCGUGUGUGAAGAAGGCCUUCGGGUUGUAAAGCACUUUCAGCGGGGAGGAAGGCGAUAAGGUUAAUAACCUUGUCGAUUGACGUUACCCGCAGAAGAAGCACCGGCUAACUCCGUGCCAGCAGCCGCGGUAAUACGGAGGGUGCAAGCGUUAAUCGGAAUUACUGGGCGUAAAGCGCACGCAGGCGGUCUGUCAAGUCGGAUGUGAAAUCCCCGGGCUCAACCUGGGAACUGCAUUCGAAACUGGCAGGCUAGAGUCUUGUAGAGGGGGGGUAGAAUUCCAGGUGUAGCGGUGAAAUGCGUAGAGAUCUGGAGGAAUACCGGUGGCGAAGGCGGCCCCCUGGACAAAGACUGACGCUCAGGUGCGAAAGCGUGGGGAGCAAACAGGAUUAGAUACCCUGGUAGUCCACGCCGUAAACGAUGUCGAUUUGGAGGUUGUGCCCUUGAGGCGUGGCUUCCGGAGCUAACGCGUUAAAUCGACCGCCUGGGGAGUACGGCCGCAAGGUUAAAACUCAAAUGAAUUGACGGGGGCCCGCACAAGCGGUGGAGCAUGUGGUUUAAUUCGAUGCAACGCGAAGAACCUUACCUGGUCUUGACAUCCACAGAACUUUCCAGAGAUGGAUUGGUGCCUUCGGGAACUGUGAGACAGGUGCUGCAUGGCUGUCGUCAGCUCGUGUUGUGAAAUGUUGGGUUAAGUCCCGCAACGAGCGCAACCCUUAUCCUUUGUUGCCAGCGGUCCGGCCGGGAACUCAAAGGAGACUGCCAGUGAUAAACUGGAGGAAGGUGGGGAUGACGUCAAGUCAUCAUGGCCCUUACGACCAGGGCUACACACGUGCUACAAUGGCAUAUACAAAGAGAAGCGACCUCGCGAGAGCAAGCGGACCUCAUAAAGUAUGUCGUAGUCCGGAUUGGAGUCUGCAACUCGACUCCAUGAAGUCGGAAUCGCUAGUAAUCGUAGAUCAGAAUGCUACGGUGAAUACGUUCCCGGGCCUUGUACACACCGCCCGUCACACCAUGGGAGUGGGUUGCAAAAGAAGUAGGUAGCUUAACCUUCGGGAGGGCGC